This 72-nucleotide transfer RNA is filed under the name Loxodonta africana (African savanna elephant). It matches the Rfam family "tRNA". From Rfam's summary of the family: Transfer RNA (tRNA) molecules are approximately 80 nucleotides in length. The record is from Rfam by way of RNAcentral. Lineage: Eukaryota; Metazoa; Chordata; Mammalia; Proboscidea; Elephantidae.
GCCCUGGUGGUGCAAUGGUUAAGCACUUGGCUGCUAACCCCAAGGUUGGCGGUUUGAACCCACCCAAAGGCU